This 253-nucleotide ribosomal RNA is filed under the name uncultured bacterium. Its description in RNAcentral is "partial 16S ribosomal RNA". It matches the Rfam family "Bacterial small subunit ribosomal RNA", at positions 524 to 776 of the family's 1533-position model. The record is from RNAcentral.
UACGGAGGGGGCUAGCGUUGUUCGGAAUUACUGGGCGUAAAGCGCACGUAGGCGGCUUUGUAAGUUAGAGGUGAAAGCCCGGGGCUCAACUCCGGAAUUGCCUUUAAGACUGCAUCGCUUGAACAUCGGAGAGGUAAGUGGAAUUCCGAGUGUAGAGGUGAAAUUCGUAGAUAUUCGGAAGAACACCAGUGGCGAAGGCGACUUACUGGACGAUUGUUGACGCUGAGGUGCGAAAGCAUGGGGAGCGAACAGG